AAAAGAAAACCUUGAGAAAAAAAGAGGCAUCAUAGUGCUUACUUCCUGAUUGAAGUGGUAACAAUGAACCAUGGAGGUGAUUGGCCAGGUGACACAUCUAUUGGCCAAUGAGCUCAUGUAGUGUCAUUUUGAAUGGCAGUGUUUUGAAAUAGCAAACAUGUGACUUUAUGUCAGAUUGUUGUGUCUUAUGCAGAGAACCGUGUUCAGUGC
This is a long non-coding RNA of Sander lucioperca (pikeperch), 210 nucleotides long. RefSeq lists it as uncharacterized. The transcript is spliced from 3 exons. The record is from RefSeq and is a predicted model, not a curated record. Lineage: Eukaryota; Metazoa; Chordata; Actinopteri; Perciformes; Percidae.